CGCGCCGUCACUGGGGAGUAGCCGCCCGAAUCUCCAUCGGGGGGUCCGUCAACAGACUUGCCGCAGGCCGCAGGGCCCAAGGCAUGGCGGAUCCGGCAGCAUGGCCUGAUCGCUUCGGCGGACAGGCGCUUGGCGAGACCUUUGGCUUUCGUGCGCCGGU
RNAcentral lists this small RNA (160 nucleotides) under Phenylobacterium sp. RNAcentral describes it as "Manganese sequence". It matches the Rfam family "Manganese Mn2+ riboswitch aptamer (yybP-ykoY)". From Rfam's summary of the family: This RNA was originally discovered in E. coli during a large scale screen and was named SraF. The family was later found to exist upstream of related families of protein genes in many bacteria, including the the yybP and ykoK genes in B. subtilis. Lineage: Bacteria; Pseudomonadati; Pseudomonadota; Alphaproteobacteria; Caulobacterales; Caulobacteraceae. The record is from RNAcentral.